This 469-nucleotide ribosomal RNA is filed under the name uncultured bacterium. RNAcentral describes it as "partial 16S ribosomal RNA". It matches the Rfam family "Bacterial small subunit ribosomal RNA", at positions 28 to 507 of the family's 1533-position model. The record is from RNAcentral.
GACGAACGCUGGCGGCGUGCUUAACACAUGCAAGUCGAACGGAAAGGCCCUGCUUUUGUGGGGUGCUCGAGUGGCGAACGGGUGAGUAACACGUGAGUAACCUGCCCUUGACUUUGGGAUAACUUCAGGAAACUGGGGCUAAUACCGGAUAGGAGCUCCUGCUGCAUGGUGGGGGUUGGAAAGUUUCGGCGGUUGGGGAUGGACUCGCGGCUUAUCAGCUUGUUGGUGGGGUAGUGGCUUACCAAGGCUUUGGCGGGUAGCCGGCCUGAGUGGGUGACCGGCCCGCAUGGGUACUAAGAGCGGGCGCAGUGCCGAGCGGGGUGAACAGGGGGGAAUUAUGGCGCAGGGGGGGAAGGAGGAUGGCGACAACCCUGGGUGUGGGUGAGGGGCUGGGGGUUUUAAAACGGGUUCCCCCUUAGAGAAGGGUGAGGUGGCGGUGGGGGGUAAAAAGGCCCCGGCUAGCUAGAAA